CAGCAGCCGCGGUAAUACGUAGGGUGCGAGCGUUAAUCGGAAUUACUGGGCGUAAAGCGUGCGCAGGCGGUUCGUUAAGACAGAUGUGAAAUCCCCGGGCUUAACCUGGGAACUGCAUUUGUGACUGGCGAGCUAGAGUAUGGCAGAGGGGGGUAGAAUUCCACGUGUAGCAGUGAAAUGCGUAGAGAUGUGGAGGAAUACCGAUGGCGAAGGCAGCCCCCUGGGCCAAUACUGACGCUCAUGCACGAAAGCGUGGGGAGCAAACAGGAUUAGAUACCCGUGUAGUCCCUGUCUCUUAUAC
This 301-nucleotide ribosomal RNA is filed under the name uncultured bacterium. RNAcentral's name for it is "partial 16S ribosomal RNA". It matches the Rfam family "Bacterial small subunit ribosomal RNA", at positions 509 to 807 of the family's 1533-position model. The record is from RNAcentral.